ACGAAAAGACCCCAUGGAGCUUCAAACCCAACUACACCCUUAACUACCACAACCGCACAACCUCUUAGGGCCCUGUAUAGUUGGUUUUAGGUUGGGGCGACCACGGAGUACAACCAAACCUCCGCAAUGGACGGGACCACUCCCUUAUCUAAGAGCCACACCUCUAAGAAUUAAAACACUAACAUAAAAUGAUCCAUGAUCUGAUCAAUGAACCAAGUUACCCUGGGGAUAACAGCGCAAUCCAUUUCAAGAGCCCUUAUCG
RNAcentral lists this ribosomal RNA (262 nucleotides) under Mantidactylus opiparis. RNAcentral's name for it is "partial 16S ribosomal RNA". Lineage: Eukaryota; Metazoa; Chordata; Amphibia; Anura; Mantellidae. The record is from RNAcentral.